GAUGAACGCUAGCGGCAGGCUUAAUACAUGCAAGUCGAACGGGAUUCGGGGUAGCAAUACUUUGAUGAGAGUGGCGCACGGGUGCGUAACGCGUAUGCAACCUACCUUUAACAGGUGAAUAGCCCCGAGAAAUCGGGAUUAAUACACCGUAACAUUGCGCUGUGGCAUCACAGUGCAAUUAAAGAUUUAUCGGUUAAAGAUGGGCAUGCGUGACAUUAGCUAGUUGGUGAGGUAACGGCUCACCAAGGCAACGAUGUCUAGGGGUCCUGAGAGGGUUAUCCCCCACACUGGUACUGAGACACGGACCAGACUCCUACGGGAGGCAGCAGUAAGGAAUAUUGGCAAUGGGCGCAAGCCUGAACCAGCCAUGCCGCGUGCAGGAAGACGGCCCUAUGGGUUGUAAACUGCUUUUGUCAGGGAAUAAACCUUUGUACGAGAUACAGAGCUGAAGGUACCUGAAGAUAAGCAUCGGCUAAACUCCGUGCCAG
RNAcentral lists this ribosomal RNA (488 nucleotides) under uncultured bacterium. Its description in RNAcentral is "bacterial SSU rRNA". It matches the Rfam family "Bacterial small subunit ribosomal RNA", at positions 28 to 511 of the family's 1533-position model. The record is from RNAcentral.